AGUGAACGCUGGCGGUAGGCCUAACACAUGCAAGUCGAACGGCAGCACAGUAAGAGCUUGCUCUUACGGGUGGCGAGUGGCGGACGGGUGAGGAAUACAUCGGAAUCUACUUUUUCGUGGGGGAUAACGUAGGGAAACUUACGCUAAUACCGCAUACGACCUACGGGUGAAAGCAGGGGAUCUUCGGACCUUGCGCGAUUGAAUGAGCCGAUGUCGGAUUAGCUAGUUGGCGGGGUAAAGGCCCACCAAGGCGACGAUCCGUAGCUGGUCUGAGAGGAUGAUCGGCCACACUGGAGCUGGGACACGGUCCAGACUCCUACGGGAGGCAGCAGUGGGGAAUAUUGGACAACAGGCGCAAGCCUGAUCCAGCCAGACCGCGUGGGUGAAGAAGGCCUUCGGGUUGUAAAGCCGUUUUGUUGGGAAAGAAAAGCAGCAGGUUAAUACCCCGCUGUUCUGACGGUACCCAAAGAAUAAGCACCGGCUAACUUCGUG
Molecule: ribosomal RNA, 492 nt
Filed under: uncultured bacterium
Lineage: Bacteria
Description: partial 16S ribosomal RNA
Rfam family: Bacterial small subunit ribosomal RNA
Source: RNAcentral